This 4428-nucleotide long non-coding RNA is filed under the name Sus scrofa (pig). RNAcentral's name for it is "lncRNA (ENSSSCG00000050987.2)". Lineage: Eukaryota; Metazoa; Chordata; Mammalia; Artiodactyla; Suidae. The record is from RNAcentral.
AGGGCCCCACUAAGGGUGGGAGUUGAAGCUGCCAGCCUACACCAUAGCAACACCAAAUCUGAGCCUCAUUUCCAACCUAUACCACAGUUCAGGGCAACAGCAGAUCCUUUACCCACUGAGGGAGGCCAAGGAGCGAAUCCACAUCCUCAUGGGUACUGGUCAGGUUCAUUACUGCUGAGCCACAAUAGGAACUUAACGAAGGCUGUAUUUUUAACCACUGUAAUAUCCUAGGCUCUUUCCCGUCUAUUCAUACAUGCCAACCAAUGUCUUUCCCAGUGUCAGAAAGCUAUUAAGUUUACUCACUCUAUUCCUAAUGUAACACUGCAGAUAACAUGAAAAUGUGCAGAUGAACAAAAUAUGACUCUGGAGCAGCACUGUGAACAGAACCUUCUGUGACGACAGAAAUGUUCAGUAAUAUCUGUGCUGUCCAGUACGGUGGCCUCUGACCCCACGAGGCUACUGAAGCACAAUGUGGUCAGUGUGACGUGAACUUAGGCACAUGUGGCUAGACACCAUCGAACAGGACAGCACAGCUCUAGAGAAAUAACAAGAAAGUGCAUGCCACAGAAAGAAGCAACUUAGCAACCAUGAUGGCAACUUGCCAACAGUAAAACAACUCAAGGUAGACAUAUAUAGUCAAGGAGUAAAACUGAAAAAGGCUCCAUCUCAAACAUGUCCUAAGACCAUGUCUUAUCUUUCAAACAUCCACAACAGCCUUCAAAAUUCAGAUUCACCACCAGCUGCAUUAUACCACCACCGCCCUGCACGUGUGUACUGCAGACCAAAUUGGGUAUUAAGUGUAUAUUGUGUUCCCCACUGGACUGUGAGCAUCUGAAGAACAGAUAGGUAUUAACAUCUCCACCACCUGCAACUAUAUCCCAAGGUUUUCUACACUAUUUCGUCAUUCAGUUUUAAUGGGAGAUAGUAUUCAAUUCUGUAAGCGUCUGAGUACCAGCAGUAUGUAUGAAAGGAAGUCCUUGUAAGGAUCUUAGAGUGGGAUGGGGGAUACAUUAUACAGGUAGACAAAUAAAUAGCAAAGGAAGGAGGGUAACUACCUAAGUACGUAAACCUAGUGCUUCAGGGCAGAAUGGAACUGUCAGGUGUCCUAGUGGUAAGAGAAACUGGAACGCAGUCUAAGAAAUAAGCAGCCAUUAUUCAAUUUUGUAAAACAUGUAAGAUGGUAAAGUGUGCCCCCACCUACUACUCCGCAAAGCCUAAUGGAUUUAAAAGGAAGGAAGGAAGAGAAACAUCACAGCAGGGCACAGAAAUUUAUCCUGACUUCACUCACAUCACCAGCGUCAGACUCACCCUGCUCCCUGUACCAGUAGGCCAAAGCUAGUCUUAGAACAAAGGCUUCUAGAUCCAAAGUUUCCACGAAAAUCUCACAGCAAAAAACAUGGUAGUUUUCCGUACACUCAAACCCUGAUUAUCUUUUAGUUAUCUACUUUUAGGUCUUGGAAACGUUAACACAGUCCAAUCUUACAGUCAGUGUAAGAGGCAGCACAUGGAGCUAAGAGUAGUUUAAAUUCAUUUAAAAGAAGUUCCCAGAGUUCCCGUCGUGGUGCAGUGGUUAACGAAUCCAACUAGGAACCAUGAGGUUGCAGGUUCAAUCCCUGGCCUUGCUCAGUGGGUUACAGAUCCGGCAUUGCCGUGAGCUGUGUUGUAGGUUGCAGACACAUCUCGGAUCCCGAGUUGCUGUGGCUCUGGAGUAGGCCAGCAGCUACAGCUCCAAUUAGACCCCUAGCCUGGGAACCUCCAUAUGCCGCGAGAGCGGCCCUAGAAAUGGCAAAAAGACAAAAAAUAAUAAUAAUUUUAAAAACAUUCAUUUCAUAAGCACAUUUUCUGUUUCCUUUAAAAAUCAUUUGGGGGCAGGGGUACUGUAUGAGGAGGCUGCAAAUUCAUAAGACAUCAAGCAUCAUCCAGAGGCCAAAAAAUAGAAAGUAUAACUACUAUCAUGUAGCAGGUUGCACACUGGAAGACUAACAAAAGUCCAACACUCUAACUUUAGAAAAGAUUGGGGUAAAAAAUCACCAGCCAAUUUUCUCAUCUCUAUCAGCACACAGAUUAUUCAUGACAAAAACAAGAGAAAAUCUGCUUAGUUUUCCUAAACUGAAUGGGCUUGUGUAGUUUAACUUUUUUAUAUGCCUGUUUUCUCAUUUUAGAUUGAGGAAGGAGACUAGAUGCCCUCAGAGGAAAAAUGUCAUUAGCUGAUAUAAUUACUUACAGAUUGAUUCAGCAUGAAUUCUGGUUCAAUCCUAAUUCAUCCAUGAACAGGAAAUAUAGGGCCAUGGAAGUUAUUAAAAUGUCAUAAAUUCUUUGAUUCUCCUCAAAACAUGGAGCUUGAUGCCUCUCCCCUUGGCUGUAGGUUCUGUGAACCCACAGCAUGUGGCAGCAGCAGUGGGGUUUCCUCCUUGCUCCUGCUUGGGUCACUCACUCUAGGGGAAGCCAGCCACCAGGUGGUGAGGACACUCACGCAAGCCCAGUGGAGAACUGAGAACUGCUGAACGCUAACCUGCUGGAGUGUGGGCCCCAGAGAGCCUCCAACUCAGUAAACAUCUUGACAUAAAAAACACCUCAUGACUGACCCAAAACGACCUAAGCUACUGCCAGGUUCCCUGACCCACAGCAAUUCUGAGAUAUACUGAAUGGUCACUGUUUUAAUCCACUAAGUUUUGGGGUAAUUUGUAACAGCAACUAAUACUAAAAAUGAAUAUACCAGUGUUUUUUAAUCUGUGGACCCUAACCCAUCUGUGAUUUAUAAAAUCAAUUUAAAGCUAUUUUUUAAAAAAUGAAGAAAAAAAAAAAAAAGAAAACCUAGUAAAUCUUUGGAGUUCUCGCUGUGGCAGAAUGGGUUAAGAAUCUGAUCAUGGUGGCUCAGGUCACUGCGGAGGCUUGGGUUUGAUUCCUGGCCCGGGUACAGUGGGUUAAAGGAUCCAGCAUUGCAGCAGCUGUGGCGAAGGCAUCUUUGGCUCGGAUUCAGUCCCUGGCCAGAAACUUCCAUAUGCCAUGGGUGCAGCCAUAAAAUUUUUUUAAAAACCUAGCAAAUAAUAAAAAGUUACAAAAGAUAGAGUAUACAAUUCAAAAUAACAUUACUACCUCAAAGUUUUUUCAACCUUACAAAUAUGUGUAUACCAAGUAGCAUUUAAUAACACUUUUUUUUUUUUUUUUUUUUUUUUGUCUUUUUGCCUUUUCUAGGGCUGCUCCCUCGGCAUAUGGAGGUAAAAUGUGUGAAACUAUUUUUGGAACCCUAAUUUGCCAAAUUUAUUUUCAAACUGCAAACUGCAAAUAAAUCAGUAUGGAAACACUAAACAGAUGACUUUUUUUUUUAUUACUUACCUCAUAGGCUACUAUCCCUCAGCAAGAACUGAGUUUUCUCCCCAACCUUUACAUAUUUGUCAGUUUCUACUUCAAUCAGUUGUAGAAAGCAGAUAAAAUUUGUAUAGCAUUACUUAUAAUGCUAGUACUUGAUAAGGGUGACUAAAAAUCAAAAUAAUUGGCAUACUUAGCAAAAACCAAGUACACACAAUUAGGCCUUGAAAGAACUAGAAGCAAAGCAGUCCAGUUCUAAAUUCAAGAGCAAGAGCUCUAGAAGACCUAGAUGCUCCUGACAGCUUUCUUCUCUAAUAAAGGUUCAGUUUCAAGAAUAAUCCUGGCUUUAUUUCUACACAACUAUAUAUAGAGUAUGGUACUGGGAAACUUAUUCAUAAGAAUAAGCAUAAUUACUUUGACUCAAGGCCAAAUACUCAAGACACAGAGGCAUGUUUCUGCCCAAUGGCUUCAUCUAAAACUUUAGCAUUAGUUUGCCCAAUUUUUCCUUUAGUUUCUCUUAAAUCAGUUCACUCUCCAUGUAAGUACUCAUCAGACCAUAAACUUAAAAGUUCAGAGUCAGAGUCUAAAAGAAUUAGAUCUCGAACUAUGUCCCUCCAAUCAAAAUCAUUUCAGUUUCCUAAUGAAACAGAUCUCAACUGCAGAGUCAAUCCAAGGAACCUGGCCUGCCAGUCUGAUGGCCAACUUUGUUUUAGUCAUACCGCACCAGAAAUACUUAUACCGGGGUCGACAUUUGGUUUUGCAAGGCAGGCAUUUAACACUCAACAAGUCAUUUAUCUAGCUGAUCAAAAAAGAAAGUUCAAGGCAGGUAUGUACUAAAUCUAUUGGCUCUUAGACCACUAAAGUUACACGGCUGCUUAUUUUGUUUUCAGACAAGAAGAAAUUAGUCAUCACUAGCCACAGGUACAAGCAGAUUACCAAAUCACACUCGAUUUUUAGCAGUGACACUUCUGCAUGUUAAACUGUCUUAAGAUAGUAAGUUUCCCUUAAGUAUUUUGUCAACUAUGUGCCAGGGCACUGUGCUAUGUAAACCAAAAUGGGUUCCACAUCAAAUCAAGGCCCUUAUAACCAAGACACCAUGCUUUAAAAGCAGAGGAGCUG